This is a long non-coding RNA of Triticum dicoccoides, 410 nucleotides long. RefSeq lists it as uncharacterized. NCBI's taxonomy places the organism in Eukaryota, Viridiplantae, Streptophyta, Magnoliopsida, Poales, Poaceae. The record is from RefSeq and is a predicted model, not a curated record. The transcript has 2 exons.
AGUCCGCAAAGGAGGAGGAAGGGGAUUCCGUUCGCCGCCAAGGCGUACUGGGUAUGCUCCUCGAGUCCCCGCUCUUCAGGCCCCUCCUCACCUCCCUCAUCAAGAAGCAGAACAACAUGACGCACAUGCUGUAGCGCACAGGGAUCCCCGACCGGCCCAUGUUCUUCCCGGAGUACCCUCUCUCUGUACAAGCAAAAGCAGCUAUGAGAAACUUUUCAUUCAGUCAAGUUCUACUGAUUUUUGGUCUUCUUGAAUUUUGUAUAGUUGAGAUAGAUGUUCUACUUCUUUCAUUCAGUCAGGCUCUACUGAAACAUUUUGCAGAAACAAUGUACUGCUGAAACUGAAAAAAGGAACAGAAACAUAAAUGUUCUGCUGAAACUGAAAAAAGGAACAGAACCACACCUGAAUAA